AUGGGAUCUUCGGUUCUCAUCGAUGAAGAACCACGAAAUGCGAUAAGGUAAUGUGAAUUGCAGAAAUUCAGUGCAAUCAUCNAAUCUNUGAAACCAUGCCCUUUUGGGUAUUUCGGAGGGGCAGCUGUUUUUGAGUGUUGUGAAAAUUCUAACUGUC
Molecule: ribosomal RNA, 157 nt
Filed under: Heterobasidion sp. KULG-10
Lineage: Eukaryota; Fungi; Basidiomycota; Agaricomycetes; Russulales; Bondarzewiaceae
Description: 5.8S ribosomal RNA
Rfam family: 5.8S ribosomal RNA (bases 10-140)
About the family: 5.8S ribosomal RNA (5.8S rRNA) is a component of the large subunit of the eukaryotic ribosome. It is transcribed by RNA polymerase I as part of the 45S precursor that also contains 18S and 28S rRNA. Functionally, it is thought that 5.8S rRNA may be involved in ribosome translocation.
Source: RNAcentral